AUGUCUUGUGUUGAGAUCAUUGAUCUUACAAACUCUCAUGAUUCCUCUCCAUCACCACAUAUAUCUUCGUCUAAUUUCUCACUGCCACAAGGAUUCAUGGUCCCACCACCGUCGAGAUUCAACAAUAACACCUUUGAGAUCGCUACUAUGCUCCAACUUGGUAUGCACGGUGGAAGCCUAGCUGCAAGGGUUAUCCAACCAUUACCUGGAUCAAAUACCUUAUCAUAUUCAAAUGGAUCUAGGUCGAGGGUCCCUUGGUCUCAACAAGAAUAUGACUUAUUUGUGAUGUGA
Molecule: non-coding RNA, 291 nt
Organism: Vicia faba (fava bean)
Lineage: Eukaryota; Viridiplantae; Streptophyta; Magnoliopsida; Fabales; Fabaceae
Source: the annotation of a GenBank genome assembly